GAUGAACGCUGGCGGCGUGCCUAAUACAUGCAAGUCGAGCGAACGGACGAGAAGCUUGUAUCUCUGAUGUUAGCGGCGGACGGGUGAGUAACACGUGGAUAACCUACCUAUAAGACUGGGAUAACUUCGGGAAACCGGAGCUAAUACCGGAUGAUAUCUUGAACCGCAAGGUUUAAAAGUGAAAGACGGUAUUGCUGCAACUUAUAGAUGGACCCCGGUUGCAUUGGCUAGUUGGUAAGGUAACGGCUUACCAAGGCAACGUUGCAUAGCCGACCUGAGAGGGUGAUCGGCCACACUGGAACUGGGACACGGCCCAGACUCCUACGGGAGGCAGCAGUAGGGAAUCUUCCGCAAUGGGCGAAAGCCUGACGGGGCAACGCCGCGUGAGUGAUGAAGGUCUUCGGAUCUUAAAACUCUGUUAUUAGGGAAGAACAUAUGUGUAAGUAACUGUGCACAUCUUGACGGUACCUAAUCAGAAAGCCACGGCUAACUACGUG
This 497-nucleotide ribosomal RNA is filed under the name uncultured bacterium. RNAcentral describes it as "partial 16S ribosomal RNA". It matches the Rfam family "Bacterial small subunit ribosomal RNA", at positions 28 to 507 of the family's 1533-position model. The record is from RNAcentral.